CUGCUCCAGAGAAGCAGCCUUUGUUCCUCAGUUCAUCGCAACACUCAGCCUGUCAGUCAGGUUGUGGGAUCCCUCCUAUCCAGGAACUGUAUGCUGUUGUCCCGGUUCUGACACUUUCCCUCUGAGUCCUUGGACACCUUACCUAACCUCUUGGAAGCUCCUGUCUGUGAAGGGUGUGCACAGAGAGCUUCGGUAGCCUGCGAAGCAGCCAUUUUCACUUCCACGGAGCAGAUGCUGGCCUGGGUGCUGGAAUAUGGAAAUGAGGAAGAUCCUGCCUGAGGAUUUCAUGACAGUGCUGCGAUUACCGACGUGAGCCACUGUGCCCAGCCUCACUUUAAAAAAAAAAAAAGGUUAUGAAGCAUCUCAACACAAGACCUCCUUUGCUCAUCACAACCACCCAGUGAAGCAGGCAAGACAACAGAAACUCCCCACCUGUGAUAGAUGUGAGGCCUGAAGUCUCCCACAUACCCACGGCAGAUGCAACGCACAGCGGUGACCAAUGGUGAAGGAUCUAAAACCUGAAAAGAGGCCAAAUGAUUCCUCAAAACCACGCAAGUACGAAGUAGCAGAGCGGAUCUCAAAUCCAGGUGUGUCUGACUUCCAGCCUAAUGGCUUUUCUUAAAAACACCCCCAAACUCUUGGUAACAUCUAUGCAAUGAAAAGGGUUGUCAUGAAAACUGCUUCCCAGUUUGUUAAAUUCUUAUGCAGGUCUCCAGUGUCAGAAACGCUGAGUAUCACUAAUCUCAAGACCUUCUCUCUGCUAUACGAGCUCUGGCAGAGCUUGUCUCCAAGGGCUAGACAGGAAAAAAAAAAUCUGGGUUCAAUUAAAAUAUAUCAAUAAAGAGAACUAAAAGGAGCUCCAAAACGUUGCUGCCCUUCUGCGGGCUGUCUGUGUGUAAUGCCGGCUCCUUCACUCUUUUAUGGCACCAUGAUUGUGUUUUACCCUCCCGACUGUUAACUGCCAACUGUUAACUGUUAACUGCCCAAGGUUGCCCUGCUGAUGUCAUGCCUGACCAUAUGACUUGCUCCAGCCAAUGAAAUGUAAGCAGAAGUGACAUAUGCAGCAUGACCAGUGGAAGCUUCGAAGAGCUAUUGCCAAUUUCCACCCUCUCUCUGGAAACUGUCAUUAGGGUUAGGGAAACUGUCAUGAGAUCUGCAUAUUUUAGAUAGAGGCUGCUUGCCUUAUUUGGGCACCUAAUGAAAAAGACAUGGAGGCCAGGUGCGGUGGCUCAUGUCUGUAAUCCCAGCACUUUGGGAGGCCAAGGCGAGUGGAUCACCUGAGGUCAGGAGUUCGAGACCAGCCUGACCAACAUGGCAAAACCCCGUCUGUACUAAAAGUGCAAACACAAAGGGAACUGCGUGGCUUGUUUCUACCUGAACAUUGUCAAGUGAUUUCAUCCUUUGAAACACAGUUGUGAAGUGUGUCCAGCAGUCUGAGAACAAGAAGAAGAAGAAAAUCUAAUCCUUCAGGGUGUCUGUGUGCCAGCCCUGCUCUCAGCACUUCCCAUGUGGAACUCCUUUACUUCUCCUAACAACUCCAUGACAUGGGUUAGACUGUGAUUGUUCCCAUAUUGUUGGUAGGGAAACUGAGGCAUGCAGGUGUUACAGAGCUCUCUCAAGUGGCAAGCUUUCUGGGUGGUUACAGAGUGGCAGAGCUGGGGUAUCCCAUGAUGUCACCACACUGCUAUAUGGAAAAGAACAUUAAUCGAGCACCUACGUGCUUGAUUCUCUUAAUUCUGUGACUGAACUCUCAAAACACCCUGGGUAAGCACUAUCAUCUCCUAUUUUCACAAGUGAAAAAACUGGGAUUCAAAAAAAUUAAGUGACUUACCAAAUAUUACAGAGCUAGUAAGCCAAGACUUGAACACUGAGAUGGAAUUCUACCUUUUAAGGUGGCUAAGCAACAGAAGGAUGUUCCUUUCCCAAGGGGGUAAGAAGCAGUGGCCAUGUUCAGCACAAUUGUCCUAUCACAGGUUCAUGGCAGGGACCGAGCAGUGAGGAUGGGCACUGCCCUGUGUCCUAGCAGAGGGCUGCCUUCUGGCUCCCCAGCCUUGGCCAGCAGCCCUUCUAUCUUCAUGCCAUGACCUAUUUUUGUUCACCCAGUUAGUGUAUGGCCUAUUUCUUUCCUUAAGAAUUACUUCAUAACUUUCACAGAGUAAUAGCACAUGCUGAGCACAGCAUUCAUGAACUUGGACACACGCACACAAAAUGUCCCUUUAAAUUCACAGAGCAGUAUCUGAGAUCCAGGUAGAAAGACCAAAAGGAAAAUUAAGAACAGACUCUCAGACCUGCCUUCCCUUUGCAUUCAGGUUGGUUUCCUUUUUACAACUGCCCAAGUCAUGAGUUCAUAGGGCCUGGAUGGCUGUACCGGAUUGCUCUCCAGCUGGUCUCUCUGCAUCCAGAAAUUUCUACAACCUACUGGGGUAAAAUCUUUCUCAACCCUGCUUUUCAUCAUCACAUCUUAAAUAUCUCGAGUUGGUUCCCUAUUGCCAAAAAAAAUCCAUUGUCCAUGUAGGGUUCUUCUGCCGAAACGAGGAAAGAGUGAGUUAAAUGUUGGUAGGUGAUAUAGAGAUAGUAAUUAGGCAAUAUAAUUCGAUGUUGUUGAAAGAGCUGAGCUAUGAAAUGCAUUGUGAUAAAGGGGCUGCCUGUGUAAGUAAAUGGGUAUAAUGAGGUGUAAAACUCCCUUUCUCUCUCUCUUUCUGCUUCAUAAGCCUUUCUGCUUCUCAAGUCCAGACCUGCUGUUUUUGGGGUUUCCUUCCAAUUUUUUUGCUGCUUCCCUGGGGCCUUGGCUCUUGGGCCUGCUGCCUCUUCCCACUCUACACCUUUGGAUUCCUUAUCUUUGGCUCCACCUUAUUGCUCCAUUCUCCAAAGACAAAUCCACAAGGCAUAGGAUUUUACAGAAUAUGGGGUUACAGAAACAGCAUAGGGAAGUGUAAAAGCCUAGAAGCUUCUUACAGACGCAGCCCCUUGUCUGUAGCUCCUGACUCCCACUUAAAUGUCUGUUGGAAGCACCCUGGGGUAGCAGAACCCAGCUCAGAAGAUGGGGCUUAUCCACCAUGCCUUUUCCUAACCUGACACCCACCCAGAUAAUCUUUUCAAUAUGCAAACUAGAGCGUAUCACCCCCUGCUCAGAGCCUUUCUGUGACCUCCCAUUUUGCUUCCCAGGACUCCUUGCUCCUUAGCCAGGUCUCCAGGUCCUCCGUGAUCAGGUCUCUGCUCUUCUGCAGCCUCAUCUCUGCCAUUCUUCACCUUUUGUGCUCCAACCCAAUCUGGUUUUCUUCUCAUGCUUUGAACACCCCAAGUCUGUCUGCUUCAGGAGCUUCGUACUGGCUAAUCAUUCACCACAGCAUACUCCCAUCUAUACGGCUGGCUCUUAUAUUAUGGGUCUCAGCUAAAAUGUCAUCCCUUCAAAGAGACCUUCUUGGACCACCCCCGCCAUUCUCUAUCCUAUUUCUCUCUUUUAUUUUCUUUGAAGCACUUACCCACUUUCAGAAACUAUCUGGCUUGCUCAUGUGUUUGUCUCUAGAUUGUCUACUUCCCCUCCUAGACUGUACUCUCCACAAGAGAGCAAAGCUGUGUCUGUUGCAUUCACUGUUGUCUUCCCAGAAGCAAGCAGCAUGCUGGAGACCCUCAAAUACAUGUGAAAUGAAGGGACACCUUGUGUUAUUUCACCUGUUUCCACCUGGUUCCCAAGUGGCAAGCUUGCAUUGAGGUUACAAAGUGGCAAAGCUGGGAUAUCACAUGAUGUCACCAUGAUGCUAUAUGAAAUGUAACAUUAAUUGAGUACCUAUGUGACCAGUUCUUUAAUUCUGUAAGUGAACUCUCAAAAAACCCUAGGUAAGUAUUAUCAACUCGAACUUUAACGGAUGAGGAAACUGGAAUUUUUUAAAAAAUGACUUAACCAAACAUCACAGAGCUGUAAACCAGGAUUUGAAUGGGUGAGCUGCACUCAGCCUUCAUCUCAAGUCAGUUUGCCUCUUUCUCCAAGAAGCCACAGUUGAUCCUGACCACAUCACAUAUGAGUUGCCUGGAUUGCAGUCAUUCAUUCACUAAGCAUCUUUUAGGAGGUCACAUGCCAGGCACCGUGUUAGGUAAUGAUUUCUCCAAGUCACAGGAGCCGUGGUUCUGACUUUAGAAAGUUUCUCAUCUGAUGGGAGGGCAGGCAAGUAAAUCAGUAAGGGUGGUCCCUGUCGGGACACUGGUUGAGAAAUACCCAGGAACACUCUGAUUGAGAAAUACCCAAAGUGCAAAGUGACAGGGACUAGAGGCAUCUCCACUGGACCAGAGAGCUCUGGAUUCGUCUUGAGCUAAGUCUCUGGAGGUAGGUGUCAGCUACAAGGAGAAAAGCUGUAUAUUUUGAGAUAUGGGAUGCAGGGCCUUUUAGUUCCAUAAAUAAGAGAACUAUGGUGUGAAUACCACAUGCCCUGGGCUGAACUAAGUGGGCUCUAGGGGAAGGUAUACUGGGCAGGGAGUUUGGAGAACUGGUUUCUGUCUAAUCCUUCUCUAACUCUGUGACCUUGAAUGCAUCAUUUCCCCUCUGAGUCUCAGAUUCUCUUUCUGGCUGGCAUUUAAUGAAACCUAAAUAUUCUAGACCUUCUACUUGUUCCAUAAGUGCUCAGUCCUACACUCACUCUCCUCUGGCACCAAUAUACUGAUUACUCAUUUUAUGCCCAGCAGAGCACUGCGUGUUUUGAAAUAUACAAAUAGUGGGAAACGAAAUCUUUGUUCUGGAUGCAGUUAUAAUUUGGAAAGCGAGGAAAUAAAUUAUAACAAGGGGAAAAAACAGACACAGAGGGAUUGAAAUGCAUAACAAUAGAGAUGAAACACGAAGAGUGAUAAAUGAAGAUUGAGUGUGCACACCUUCUGGAGGAGCCCUGAUUGAGUAUUUUAAAAUACUACUAAAGUCAUGCCGUGUGACUUCUGAAGCUAGCUCCUAAGAAGUCCUUGCAGCUUCUGCCUGCGACUCUUAGAACACUUGCUUUGAAGGAUGCCAGAUGCUGUCUUAAAAGUCUGAGCACUCUGAAACCAUCAUGCUGUGAGGAAGCCCAAGCUAACCACAUGGGCAAAAAAGAUGCCCUCUGACUGCCACCAUUUGAGACACUCUAAUUAAGAACUGCCUCAUUGAGCCCAUGAGGCCCUGUGAAUGAUAAUAAUAAAUUGUUUUUAACCACUAUGUUUUUGGAUUUGUUAUAAGUUUAUAGAUAACAAGAAAAAGUUAUAUUAGCAUGGUAAUAAAAUUAUGGAUAUGUGUAAGUUUGGUGUUUUGUUUCUUUUUUUUUUUUACACUAAGCCUAUAUUACUGUUGUAAUUUAGGAAAUCACUUGUUUUCCUCCAGCACUUCAAUGUAAGAGUGGCACUACUUAGAAUGUACUUCUUAAGAUAUGGCU
RNAcentral lists this long non-coding RNA (5387 nucleotides) under Homo sapiens (human). RNAcentral describes it as "HSALNT0143203". Lineage: Eukaryota; Metazoa; Chordata; Mammalia; Primates; Hominidae. The record is from RNAcentral.